RNAcentral lists this long non-coding RNA (1118 nucleotides) under Physcomitrium patens. RNAcentral describes it as "long non-coding RNA (PPAT_LNC011343)". The record is from RNAcentral. Lineage: Eukaryota; Viridiplantae; Streptophyta; Bryopsida; Funariales; Funariaceae.
CAGCGGUUUUCUGUUUGAAAGGUUGGAACUGUGGAAUUGAAGUUUGAGGUUUACUGUUGUGGAAAGUAGUCAGGAAGAAACCUAAGGGCAAGGAUGGAUAUGCUAGGAUGUUAAACAUGGCUCAAGCAUUUUGAAGCAUAUGCAGGCUUACUCAAAUGACUUGUCUGAUUUAGGGUUUAGGGUAAAUGGCAUCUUCAUCAGCAAUGUUAUUGGUCUUGGCAACUAUCUUGUUUGGAUUGAUCUUGAGAUUUUCGUAAAUGCCCGAGUCUUGAGAUCGUAUCGUUUAUCUUGAUGACUGUUAGGGAAGUCCUUGUUUUAGUUCGAGAUCUGGGAUUGCGCAGGGUUUUUGUUUUUGUUAUUUUUAUGGAUAUGAAUACGUUGAUGCUUUCAUUUCGUUGUGUGCUCUACUUAAGGAUUUGUUGAAAUUCUUGCAGGUGGUAGUGAAAAAUGUACCGGAGCUGAACUACUGAUGCUGGUGCAAGGAAUAAAAAUUCAAGGCGAGGCGUGCGUGGGAGUUCGACUAGCAGGUCGGUUUGCUGCAGUGAAUCGUGACCUUUUGAUCACUAGUACCUUGGUUUGUGUUCGAAUAGAUUGGUAAUUGUUUCUUUUCCUCGUUUAGCUUGGGAAUUAAGCUAGCAAAGUUGGCCUAUUUAGCAAGUUUCAGAACUAGGGAGCUGGACAUUUUGUUGCAGAAUUCUGACUUGCAACGAACGAUUUUCAAUGACAAGCAUUUAGUGUUGAAGGGAAUCGUUCAUGGUUAUCAGUAAGACGUUUGAUAUAUGGAAAGAUUCUUUAUGGUUGGAUCUAUUUUCCAAUACAAUUUUUACUACCAUUAGUUCCUUCAGUGUUGCCCUCCGAUCUGGUUCCUUGUCUUUUAGUUUCUAUGGUGCUGGGGAUCUUGUUCACUGCCAAGAGGGGCAUCAGAUGUAGACAAGGCUACUGACUAAGAUGUAACUGACAGCAGUACUUGCUCGUCACUGCUCGACUAUUGCGGGUUUCCAGUGUGUUUCCAUGUUCGUGAACGAGUACAUUUGUAAUGUCCCUCAGCUAUCUUCAGGAAUCAUCUCCCUUCUAACAAAUUUGAGCUUCGCCAGCCAUCCUUUUUUUAGUUUGUACAG